CGGGGUGUAGCGCAGCCUGGUAGCGCGUCGCCUUUGGGAGGCGAAAGUCGGGAGUUCGAAUCUCCCCACCCCGA
Molecule: transfer RNA, 74 nt
Filed under: Chloroflexota bacterium
Lineage: Bacteria; Bacillati; Chloroflexota
Description: tRNA-Pro
Rfam family: tRNA
About the family: Transfer RNA (tRNA) molecules are approximately 80 nucleotides in length. Their secondary structure includes four short double-helical elements and three loops (D, anti-codon, and T loops).
Source: RNAcentral